RNAcentral lists this ribosomal RNA (778 nucleotides) under uncultured Neocallimastigales. Its description in RNAcentral is "partial large subunit ribosomal RNA". It matches the Rfam family "Eukaryotic large subunit ribosomal RNA", at positions 23 to 645 of the family's 3401-position model. The record is from RNAcentral. Lineage: Eukaryota; Fungi; Neocallimastigomycota; Neocallimastigomycetes; Neocallimastigales.
AGAGAGAGACAUGCGCGCAUAUCAAUAAGCGGAGGAAAAGAAACUAACAAGGAUUCCCUUAGUAACGGCGAGUGAAGCGGGAAGAGCUCAAAUUUGAAAUCUUCAAGGUUUUACCUUGACGAAUUGUAGUUUAAAGAAGUGUUUUUCUGCUGAAGUUUUGGUAAAAGUUCUUUGGAAUAGGACAUCAUAGAGGGUGAGAAUCCCGUAUUUGACCAUUAUUUUCAGCUUUGUGAUACACUUUCAAAGAGUCGGAUUGUUUGGGAAUGCAGUCCAAAAUGGGUGGUAAAUUUCAUCUAAAGCUAAAUAUUGGCGAGAGACCGAUAGCGAACAAGUACCGUGAGGGAAAGAUGAAAAGAACUUUGAAAAGAGAGUUAAACAGUACGUGUAAUUGUCAAAAGGGAAGCGUUUGACACCAGUGUUGUUUUUCCUCGAAAAUCAAUUAAAAAUGGCUCGAUUUUGUAUUGUUGAGACCUUAAAAGCUCACUGUACAUUUUUCGUGUCUUUUUUAAUGCACUUUUCGUUUAACAAGUCAACAUCAGUUUCUUUUGUUGUAAAAGGGUCAUUGGAAGGUGGCUUUCUUUUCGGAGAAAGUGUUUAUAGCCUUUGGCCUCUGCAAUCGGAGAGACUGAGGUCUGCAGCGUAGACUCUUCGGGGUUAGAUACAUUUGUGCUAAGUUAUAGCUUUUUAUAGACAACUUGUUGACUAUAAUUAGUCUUGUAGCUUACUCGCUUAUGCUACUUUUACCUACGCUUAGGAUGUUGAAGUCAUCGUAUCGCGC